CCAAGGCUACGUGCUGAAAACCGUACUUUGACCUAUAAUGGUUUUCUUUUUUAAAUUGUGACUUGGAUGUAGAGUUUUCUCAUUGACACUCAUACAUGUACCACAUCUUCUCAAAUUUAUAUUCAAAACUGUCACACUAAAAGACCCUUACAACAAUUUCCUAGGGGUCCAUUGAAGGUCUAUUGCUAGGCAAAAUGUCGGCCCCAAUCAAACAAACCCCC
This 221-nucleotide long non-coding RNA is filed under the name Mytilus galloprovincialis (Mediterranean mussel). Lineage: Eukaryota; Metazoa; Mollusca; Bivalvia; Mytilida; Mytilidae. The record is from RNAcentral.